This 85-nucleotide non-coding RNA is filed under the name unclassified sequences. Its description in RNAcentral is "chrB RNA". It matches the Rfam family "chrB-a RNA". The record is from RNAcentral.
GUGAUGGGGUUGUGAACGCCUCGUGAGGCGGCAGCCGAAGGUUCGCGUCUUUCAAUCAAUAGACUUGUUGAAGGGAUGCGUUAUG